Molecule: long non-coding RNA, 1084 nt
Organism: Dromaius novaehollandiae (emu)
Lineage: Eukaryota; Metazoa; Chordata; Aves; Casuariiformes; Dromaiidae
Exons: 3
Source: RefSeq, a predicted model, not a curated record
CCGGGAGGUAUAGUCUUCUGGCAACAGCUUUCCUGGCGGCCACUUUAAUGUGCACGCUCUUCAGGUUACGAAUAUGCAUGACUUCCUGAGAACUGUUCUGAGCAUGCAGUGUUGCAGAUCAUGACUGCCUGGGCAGCACUCCCCAGCUUGUCUGCGAAGACUACACAACACCUGGCAGCUGCCUGUGGAAUGAAAGCAAAGGCCAACUUCUCAGAGGGAAGAGGCAGGCUCCAAGCAGGAAGAUUAUGGCAGAUGAAGGACUUCGUUGGAUCCCAGCAAAAUGGGUGAAACCAUGGAUAGAGUCAAACAAAGUGGGCCAGGACUCAUUGUAAUCGCUCGAGCUGUAAUUACUGCACGCGUGUAACUAAAAUUUAAUUAUUUAAUUUGCUUUGAUUUGGCUCUGAAUUUUUCUGUGGGAACCUAGGGUCAGGCCCUGUUAUGGUGGCCAACACUGUCGGGGCCUCUCAUCUCCAAAUGAUCAUUUGGCGCCAUCGGGUGAGUUCACCUGGGAUCUUUUGGCAAUAAGAGGCACCGAAAAGAUGAGUCUUAAAUUCCUGCCUAAAUUCUAAAUUCUGGUCUGGUAACAGUGCACUGUAAGGGGUACGCAGGCUGGCCACCGUAAGGCGUACCAGGGGAUGGAUGUGAGUCCCAUCCCCAGGGUUUGAGUGGGUUUUAAGUCCCUAAUGAUGUUAAUGCCUGUAGUGCUAUUCGUCAUAUUGAUAUGUGUUUUGUGGCGUUGUCUGAUAACACUGGUGUCUCGAUCAAUCAAGAGUGUCUGGAUUGCUCAAAGAAAAGAAGGGGGAUUUGUGGAGGAUUUUCUAGAGGAAAACGGACAUGUGAGCAAUCCAGCCCUAAUGCUAAUAGCAAGAGUGUGAAAGUAGGUUUUGCGGCCUACUGGUAAGGUUACUAGAGGGCAUGCAAUGUGGUGAGAAACUGUCCUUGGAACGAGAAAAACAACUCCCAGGAAAAACAACUCCCAGAUGUUCAGUGAGAAACUUACGGGCUUAGGUAAUUUCUUUGCCUCCUUGGAGACAAUAAAUGCUAUCCAAUCAUAUACUGUUUAGAUGUGCGUGCUAAAUGAACA